Streptomyces qinglanensis is the source of this 1721-nucleotide ribosomal RNA. It matches the Rfam family "Bacterial large subunit ribosomal RNA", at positions 1222 to 2821 of the family's 2925-position model. Lineage: Bacteria; Bacillati; Actinomycetota; Actinomycetes; Kitasatosporales; Streptomycetaceae. The record is from Rfam.
GGGUGGGUAGGGGAGCGUCGUGUGCCGGGUGAAGCAGCCGUGGAAGCGAGUUGUGGACGGUUCACGAGUGAGAAUGCAGGCAUGAGUAGCGAUACAUGCGUGGGAAACGUGUGCGCCGAUUGACUAAGGGUUCCUGGGUCAAGCUGAUCUGCCCAGGGUAAGUCGGGACCUAAGGCGAGGCCGACAGGCGUAGUCGAUGGAGAACCGGUUGAUAUUCCGGUACCCGCUAUGCAGCGUCAGACAUCGAAUCAGGUGAUGCUAAGUCCGUGAAGCCCCUUGUUUUCUUCGGAAGACGGGUGUGGUGGAGCCGACGGUCCGAGCUUGUAGUAGGUGAGUGAUGGGGUGACGCAGUGAGGUAGUCCAGCCCGGGCGAUGGUUGUCCCGGGGUAAGGGUGUAGCCCGAGGAGCAGGGAAAUCCGUUCCUCGUUACAGGGGUGAGACCUGAUGCCGAGCCGUUUGUGGUGAAGUGGAUGAUCCUGUGCUGUCGAGAAAAGCCUCUAGCGAGUUGUGUGGCGGCCCGUACCCUAAACCGACUCAGGUGGUCUGGUAGAGAAUACCGAGGCGUUCGGGUGAACUAUGGUUAAGGAACUCGGCAAAAUGCCCCCGUAACUUCGGGAGAAGGGGGGCCAUGUCUGGUGAGGGCACGUGCUGUCCGAGCUGGGUGUGGCCGCAGAGACCAGCGAGAAGCGACUGUUUACUAAAAACACAGGUCCGUGCGAAGCCGUAAGGCGAGGUAUACGGACUGACGCCUGCCCGGUGCUGGAACGUUAAGGGGACCGGUUAGUCACAUUUCGGUGUGGUGAAGCUGAGAACUUAAGCGCCAGUAAACGGCGGUGGUAACUAUAACCAUCCUAAGGUAGCGAAAUUCCUUGUCGGGUAAGUUCCGACCUGCACGAAUGGCGUAACGACUUCUUGACUGUCUCAACCAUAGGCCCGGUGAAAUUGCACUACGAGUAAAGAUGCUCGUUUCGCGCAGCAGGACGGAAAGACCCCGGGACCUUUACUACAGCUUGAUAUUGGUGUUCGGUUCGGCUUGUGUAGGAUAGGUGGGAGACUGUGAUGCGGACACGCCAGUGUUCGUGGAGUCGUUGUUGAAAUACCACUCUGGUCGUGCUGGAUGUCUAACCUGGGUCCGUGAUCCGGAUCGGGGACAGUGUCUGGUGGGUAGUUUAACUGGGGCGGUUGCCUCCUAAAGAGUAACGGAGGCGCCCAAAGGUUCCCUCAGCCUGGUUGGUCAUCAGGUGGUGAGUGUAAGUGCACAAGGGAGCUUGACUGUGAGACUGACGGGUCGAGCAGGGACGAAAGUCGGGACUAGUGAUCCGGCGGUGGCUUGUGGAAGCGCCGUCGCUCAACGGAUAAAAGGUACCCCGGGGAUAACAGGCUGAUCUUCCCCAAGAGUCCAUAUCGACGGGAUGGUUUGGCACCUCGAUGUCGGCUCGUCGCAUCCUGGGGCUGGAGUCGGUCCCAAGGGUUGGGCUGUUCGCCCAUUAAAGCGGUACGCGAGCUGGGUUUAGAACGUCGUGAGACAGUUCGGUCCCUAUCCGCUGCGCGCGUAGGAGUCUUGAGAAGGGCUGUCCCUAGUACGAGAGGACCGGGACGGACGGACCUCUGGUGUGCCAGUUGUUCUGCCAAGGGCAUGGCUGGUUGGCUACGUUCGGGAAGGAUAACCGCUGAAAGCAUCUAAGCGGGAAGCCUGCUUCGAGAUGAGGACUCCCACCCCC